AUGGCAAUCACCUUUGUGUCUUAUUAAAAUGCAGAUCCUGAUUCAGCAAGGCCAGGGUGGGGCCUGAGAUUUUUCAUUUCUAACAAGUUCCUGGAUGAUACAGAU
This 105-nucleotide microRNA precursor is filed under the name Marmota monax (woodchuck). The record is from RNAcentral. Lineage: Eukaryota; Metazoa; Chordata; Mammalia; Rodentia; Sciuridae.